GGUGACGCUCUUGGGACGGCAGCCCAAGCCAUCGUCUUCCCCAACAUCACGAGGACUCCUCCUCCCAAACCCAAACCCAGGGUUUCAGGAACUGCGGACCACCCAAAAGGCCUGCGGAAAACGCCCCCAAACGCGACCCCGUGGCACCCUCACUUGUCAGCGUAUCUCAGGACGUACUUGCCGCGGGAGGGACGAAGAGAGAGAGAAUGGGGGAUAGAACUUCGGGCAGAUCCCGGGCGCGUGGACACUGGGAAGACUUACUCUUGAGGACUCAGAGCAACUUGGUUCCCAGCUCUAACGCAAGUGCUGGUGGUUCCCUCGUCACAGCCUGCCUAUAGGAACUGACCAUAGAACAUUAUGAUCCCGAAUGCCUGGGGGAAGAGAAAAAUGUGCUUCAGCUCUAAAAGAUUCAAGUUCAGUGAGUCCUCCUCACUCCUCACCUCAGUCCUUCCUGCUGGGAUCCCCUCUUUCUGGCGGAACACCAUGUUAUCUCAAAUGAUUAUGGAUUCUUUAGAAAUGGAAAAAUAUCUUUUAUUCUUACUGUUUGUCCUGUGAGAGCAGCCCUGAUGACUUUUAACUCAAGAAUGCCAGGAGUUUCUACCACUACUUUUGUUUCAUCUCUUGAUGGCAUGGAUGGUUUGCCAAUAAAACGUGCACAGGUG
This is a non-coding RNA of Microcebus murinus (gray mouse lemur), 662 nucleotides long. The record is from RefSeq and is a predicted model, not a curated record. Lineage: Eukaryota; Metazoa; Chordata; Mammalia; Primates; Cheirogaleidae.